GACGAACGCUGGCGGCGUGCCUAAUACAUGCAAGUAGAACGCUGAAGCUUGGUGCUUGCACCGAGCGGAUGAGUUGCGAACGGGUGAGUAACGCGUAGGUAACCUGCCUGGUAGCGGGGGAUAACUAUUGGAAACGAUAGCUAAUACCGCAUAAGAGUAGAUGUUGCAUGACAUUUGCUUAAAAGGUGCAAUUGCAUCACUACCAGAUGGACCUGCGUUGUAUUAGCUAGUUGGUGAGGUAACGGCUCACCAAGGCAACGAUACAUAGCCGACCUGAGAGGGUGAUCGGCCACACUGGGACUGAGACACGGCCCAGACUCCUACGGGAGGCAGCAGUAGGGAAUCUUCGGCAAUGGACGGAAGUCUGACCGAGCAACGCCGCGUGAGUGAAGAAGGUUUUCGGAUCGUAAAGCUCUGUUGUAAGAGAAGAACGAGUGUGAGAGUGGAAAGUUCACACUGUGACGGUAUCUUACCAGAAAGGGACGGCUAACUACGUGCCAGCAGCCGCGGUAAUACGUAGGUCCCGAGCGUUGUCCGGAUUUAUUGGGCGUAAAGCGAGCGCAGGCGGUUAGAUAAGUCUGAAGUUAAAGGCUGUGGCUUAACCAUAGUACGCUUUUGGAAACUGUUUAACUUGAGUGCAAGGGGGGGAGAGUGGAAUUCCAUGUGUAGCGGGUGAAAUGCGUACAUAUAUGGAGGAAUAUCGGUUGUCGAAAGGGGCUCUCUGUCUGGAACUGACGCUUAGGCUCGAAAGCGCGGUGAGUAAAUAGCAUUAAAUAUCCUGGUAGCCUAAGGGCGAC
RNAcentral lists this ribosomal RNA (797 nucleotides) under uncultured Streptococcus sp. RNAcentral's name for it is "bacterial SSU rRNA". It matches the Rfam family "Bacterial small subunit ribosomal RNA", at positions 28 to 803 of the family's 1533-position model. The record is from RNAcentral. Lineage: Bacteria; Bacillati; Bacillota; Bacilli; Lactobacillales; Streptococcaceae.